GGGGAGGAAAAACCAGUCAUUUGAUUUGAAGACGAUAUCAAAUGCCAUAUCGUUUACAUCUUCGAGAACUGACCUCACUAGUAGAUGGACACAUCACUGUUGUAUUUUCUUUAAGAGAAGUUGUGUGAAUGGGUAAGUUGUAGUUGUAAUAGACAAUGACCGACAUUGUAGGUGGGUUAGAAUGUGGUUGUUUUGUAGUACAAAGCCAU
This 209-nucleotide unclassified non-coding RNA is filed under the name Hevea brasiliensis (rubber tree). The record is from RNAcentral. Lineage: Eukaryota; Viridiplantae; Streptophyta; Magnoliopsida; Malpighiales; Euphorbiaceae.